Long non-coding RNA from Cyprinus carpio carpio, 5897 nucleotides. The record is from Ensembl. Lineage: Eukaryota; Metazoa; Chordata; Actinopteri; Cypriniformes; Cyprinidae.
CGAGAGAAAAAAAAAGUAUGAAACUCAUCUAAGCAAAAUGCUUUAUUAUAUUGUAUUUGCAGUCAUGCUUAUGUCACCAUAUCAUGUCGACAUUUUAACAAACUGCAAAUAACCAAGCUGUGAACACUGAACAUAGCAUACUAUUUCACAAAACAUGUUUUGUUCGCAGUAUUAGUACGAUAUCAGAAUCAGAGUCAGUAACAGGUCAUUAAGAUAAAAAAAAAGUCUCACAACAGUCAUGUGAGACAUAGCACUUUGUUUUAAACUGAAUUGAGCUGACACAUUAUACAAAGUCAUUUUUGGUACACUAAUUUCUAGUCCCUUAGAGCAAGUGUUUAAGUUGCCUUCCUCAAGGGCACAAUUUUAUUAAAAAUGGGAUGAUUUUGGUACCUUUCGAGUUUAUAGAUCACCAUAACUUUGGACUGACCCUGGCUGCUUUAUCAAACCAGCACCUUCAUCAUAAGGCGACCGUAUAUUCAGUUAGUUCUUGAGAUUCAACAUUUGAAUAUUCUUAACUGAACAUUCUUAAUACUGGAAAUGUUCAUUUUGGCACAGAAAAAUAGAAUUAAAAAUAUAUCAUCAUUUGUAUUACUGUCAUUCAACAAAUAAUAAUACUAACAAGCAUUCAAACCAUCAUAGGGAAUUCUGUCAGCAAAACUCACUUUCAUCAAUGAAUUAUUCUCCUGCAUGAUGUUCAAAUGUUAUUGUAUAUGUGUGUGUGUAUAUAUAUAUAUAUAUGUAUAUACCUUCCCAUAUGCCAAAAUUAAAAUCAAUGUCUUUAUAUAUUUUUUUGCAGCCCACACAUGAAAAUUUUCAAAAAUCAAAUAAAAGUUUUCACUAUGAUUUCCCACUACUUCAUUAACAACUUAAGGAAUAUUCAAAAACAUUUUAUCAUUCAUUCAUUCAACAUGGUACAAAAGACUUUUUGAACGUUAAAAUACUUUCUUCUGGUUCAAGGCCUCGUUUUCAUGUGUUUUUGAAUAUAACUUGUCCCCACUGUGUCUUUUGCUACAAGACACUGGCAUGGUGAGAUUCGACAACAGCAGCAUCACAUAACAGCACACAUGAUUGCACUCAGUAAACAAAUCACAUUAGAUCAUUUCCAACAGAAAACUUCAAUUAUUCAUGCAUGCAACUAAUAAUAAUUGCGCAAGUAAAAACAAGAAUGGGGAUCUGAUUAGUGUUCUUCUCAAAUUUGUUCCACCUUUGUGCAUUUAUGAAAUCUCCCUGACCUUCUCUGAGUUUGCCUGGUCAAUCAUACUCGACUCAGGGUACGUGUCACCAGCCAGCCCUUCUGUCGGCUCUCCAAACAUCUCCAGUUCAUCUAGAAUGGUUUGAACUCUGCGGACGCCAUCCCUCCGAGCCUGACGCACAUCUGGGCGACCUUCAGGGUCUAUUGAGUCCAGAGCCAGAAGUUCUUUGGUCAACAUCUCUUCCAGCAUCAUGUAUCUUUUAUCAUUCUUCUUCCCAUCGAAACUUUUCACAUCUUGUGCCAGUUUCUCCACACGUUCCAAUAUCUGCUGCACUUUGAUCAGUCCUGGGUGGCUCAGAUCUUGUUCUGGAGUCUCCUCAGGCUGGACUUGUGGGGGUAGGACCUCUUGAGGUGUUUGAGGGGCAGCGGUUUCCUGUGGUUCUGGUGCUGGAGGAAACUGUAUGGUAAUAUUGGAUGUCUCUGAUACCUGCGGUGACUGUGGUAUGGGUUGUUGUUGUUGCGGUUUUACUGGCUGAUGAUGUAUUUGCUGAGGAAUAUCACUAACUCUUUGAAUGGGAAUCUCAAAUGCAGGCGCUCUGACAAUUUCUUCAACUGGUUGUUCAGCUUUAGGUGAAAUUGCUGCGGGUCCAAUGUGUUGCUGGACCUGGCAAUAGUAACAUAUUCUCUUUAGCUGAUGAACAUUAAUGGCUUGAGCUUAAGUGAAUCAGUCCUUAUUAAUAAAUACUAAUAAAUAACACACAUACCUGUGGUCUCUCUCCCAUGAUCUGAGACAUGACUGGUGACUGGGCCAGUAAGGGGACCGAGAUGGGACUGGCAGCUCGAUUCUGUUGAAUCUGAAUGGGCACUUGUUCACGGUAGAUUGGCAUUUUUUCUCGCGUAGGAUGAGAACUUUGGCUAGGCUGGGAUUGUGAGGCACCCCCUACACCCUCGUGGAUCACCGGAAUGGGGAUGUAGCCCGCCCGGAGACCUGUAUUGCUGGGUCGGGGCUGUUGAUGAAGGCCACUCAUUUGUUGGUGUGUGCCCUGUGGUUGAUGAACCUGAUGCACAUAAAAAUACAGUUUGAUUUUGGAAAUAGCCAGAAAUGUUUACACUAGCAUUCAAAGGUUUUGGAUAAAUAACAUUAAAAAAAUAAAAAAAAUCUAUUUCAAGUAUUGCUACUAUUGUUGGCUCUUUGACGAGUUGCUUUACACCACUUUUGUAAGUCACUUUAGACAAAAAAAAGAAUUUGCACAAUAUUUCUGCAUUUUUGUUCAAAUAAAAAAAAGAUAAGAAAUAAAUAAUAAUAAACAAAAAAAGAUAAGAAAUACAGACAAAACUUAUUCAGCAAUAAUAUGUUAAAAUAGCAACUUUUAGCAGCCAUUAUUUUUCAGCAACCUAUUAAACUUUUUUUAAACUUUGAAAAGAAAACACAGGGCCCAAGGAAAACUUCCAGAAGCAAACAUGAAUUCAUGCAAUUCUUUCAUAAUGAAUCCACAGCCCGACAGAGACUGCCAUGUCCAAUAGAGAAAUCCAAUUCCUAAUGGUCUUACCUCAGGCCCGUGUAAAGCAGGUGAGCAAGACAAACAUGCUUCCGAUGGGGCCUGCACUGGAGAUCUAGGCCGACAGUGGGAUGCUGGGGUCGGGGAAGGUGUACGUCCAUCUGUUCUCAAACUUUGCUGCACUGCUGGGUGGAUGUAGGAGAAACUCGGAUACUGCUGCAGCCUGGGUUCAGUGUUUUCAUGGGAGACUGCGAUGGGGAUGUAGCCCUGGCGUAGCAUCGGUUGCCUCAUCUCUUGAAUAAAGGAUUUGUGCAUGUCCUGAGGAGGCUCGGGGGACAUAGAGGGGCCAUUUGAAAAAAUCUGAAAAAAAAGAAGAAAAAAGGAUGGUUGAAAGAUCUAUUCAAAAUGAUCUCAUUUAAAUAUUCUGCAUCAUACGUCUGAUCAACAACAUCACUUCUGAUGAUGCUCUUCAGUCUUCUUUUGCUGAAGUAUGUAGUAGCUAUAUGCUAAAUUGUUUUGCAGGAGAAGGCAAAUAACUAAAGCAUGUGGUUGGCUGGGUUAUUGAAAAAGCUCCAAUCAUCAACAAUGGCAUUCCAGACAGCAUAAACAAAAUAUUUUUUACUUAUAUAAUAUUGAAAAACAAGCCAGAGAUAAUGGUAUGUAGAUGUUUUUGGGAAAUAAUCCCAUAAAAUCAGUAGCUAGAUCAUCUUUUCAAUGAUUAAUCUGAACUGUAAAAUGAAAUAAUGGUAUUGUUAAACAAUAUACAUCACAGGCAGCCACAAUGGGGACAAACUUUUGAGGGCUAAACUUUGACAAACAUAAAGAGUGAGAUGGAGCAUUACUAACAAGCACAGUGUCUAAUAUUCAAACUCCUGUAUUGGAUGAUUUUAUGACACUCUAUAUGACACAUUAUGUGUUGAUUAACAGUAUUUUACACCUGCUACAUUUUUCCUAUUAGCGUCACAUCACUGUCAAGUUGUAGGCUUUUACAACUAGUCACACUCAGUUAUAUGCGAAUUCCACCUGUUGUAAAUCUGCCUAAUGUAAAAUGAUAUUAUACGUUAUUGCAGGCAACCAACCAACAUGCUAUGGGAUUCAGUCACUGCUUCAGUUCAGUACAUAAAUGUAACACUCAAUUUGAACGUGUCUCACGUCUUCUCUCCUCAUCUGUUUGACACGCAAAGGUCAGUCCGCCCUCUCUCAAUGACGAGGCAGUCAAGAAACAAACAUGAAACAUGAGUGGGUAAAAACUCACUGUGCACAGCAACUGUUAAGCGAUGGCAUUGGCUUACAGGAUAUACCCUGUAUGCUGUCGAUUCUAAUGCCAUGACUCACUCUAUGUAGCAUUUUUCAAUGGGUUGCUGUGCUGUUGACACUGUGUCUUAAAAUACUCUUUGUGAGGGGGAGGGCCUCCCUUACUCAUCAAUGUAAAUCAGAGUUACACAGACACAACAAACAUCAAAAGAGAUAAAAUCCCUAAUAAAUCAUCAAAAAAACACCUAUUCUGAUGUUGAAACAGCAAAGCAGCUACAUCAUUUUAAGACAGGCAGGCAAUUAUUCCUGAAUGUAGAUAUGGUCACAUCUAAUGUCAGCUCAGCGAAAACUUCGCAAGCGAAAUCCAGUCAUUUCAACUGGAAUUUCAAAAAAGUUCCCCUUGCAGAUUUCGCUCAUGAUCACUUUGGUCACAUGAUUCAUUGUGUUGACCAACAGAAAGACGCUUUCAAGCGACAGCUUCAUUCAUACACUACUGAAAGUUGGCAAUGGAAUUUUUUGCUCACGAAAUUCCCUAAAUUACAAGCUAAACUUAUACUAAAUGCUAAAGUUAAGAAGCUGAAGUUCAGCUACUUGUUUCAUUGACCUUCCCAAAUUAAAAUAUAAUGUCUUGUACAGGUCUAAAUAUACAAGCACAUUAAUAUGGCUUGGUAUUAUAGGACCAUCUUAAAAUGCAACACAUCGGAGUCCUGAGCCUGAAAAAGGUCAAAGAGGGAUGAAUCAAGGUUUACAAUGCAGUUUUACUAAACGGAUUAAAAACCAAGAUGUUAAACAGAGAGAAUAGUGACUGGUUAGCGUAUAUGACCUCAUGCCCUCUCCGUUUUUUCUUUUUUUUUUUAUUUUUGACACAGACGCCAGGAGUAGCGCUCAGUUUAUCUCCUGACAGCUGUGUCUUUCCAGCAGAUUCUUGGUGACACUAACUUCGGACAAGUGUUGAUCUAUCUAAUGAAAGAUGCCAACUGGCAAGCCCUCGUGUUCCCCCCCCCCCCGCAUUUUUGACUCCCAGAACCUGAUGUGCGGAGAACAGUCUGACACUUCCAGUUUGUAACUUUCAAGCCCAUUCAUUGGGAAUGACAGAAUCGCUGAGUGGGUGGAUCUUUAUGAAAUCCCAUGUAAGGGAAACUUUGAGGGACGCGUUAGUGCUUUGCGGUUCCAGGGAUGUGCAGAACAAGCGCAGUGUGCGUAGUUCUCGAGGCUUUAAAUAAACAUUGUGGAGUCGUUCUAACACUCUCACAUAUGACUGCAGUGCGUCACACACUAAUCACUUCAGCUGAGAUCAUCACACUAAUAUAUUUCGCCGGUGUAUAUACCGUCAGGCCGUUCAAAUGAACGCGAAGAGCUAUUUCCACAGAGGUGACUGCGAUUCACGCGCGAGCUUCGGCGAAUAUCGAGUGCGUGGCUCCCUAGACAGCCAGUGUCUGAUCAAGUAGCCUACGAUAUGGAUGUACUGAGUGGGAUCGCUGCCUACGCACUCAACAAAACUGUCUUUUACGAUGAAACACCCUCCAAAAUGCCAUAACUAGUCUAUAAAACACACGUCAUAUGUUGAUCUGCAGUUGUAAGAUCGCCAUAAAAACGCUCGCGCGCAACUUCCAAAAGCACAAUCAAGAUCUAUCUUACCUUUUUCGUGUCGUGCCUCGGAUCGUUCCACGUCGUUGUGCGAUUGUUGUGAUCCACAAAAAACGGCCAACCUGUCUGCGGGUCGAUUUUGAUCUCCCACCCGGGUGGCAGAGGAUCGUUAGUUGUCAUCGUUUCGACUGGAGACGGUGUUUUCAUACUCUGAUAUUGCUUCGCUCCCGAAUAUUGUGCCAUUACAGCCGCUACAGACGCUUUAAAGGGUCCGUCUGAUGACGUACUGUAAACGGGGACGGGUUUCUCGAAGCAGCAAGGUCCCUCUGAAGACUACCGAGAAAGUUCUAGCUGAGGGUUCACUG